GAGUUUGAUCUUGGCUCAGAUUGAACGCUGGCGGCAUGCCUUACACAUGCAAGUCGAACGGCAGCACGGGAGCUUGCUCCUGGUGGCGAGUGGCGAACGGGUGAGUAAUGCAUCGGAACGUAUCCUGGAGUGGGGGAUAACGUAGCGAAAGUUACGCUAAUACCGCAUAUUCUGUGAGCAGGAAAGCGGGGGACCUUUGGGCCUCGCGCUCUUGGAGCGGCCGAUGUCGGAUUAGCUAGUUGGUGAGGUAAAGGCUCACCAAGGCGACGAUCCGUAGCAGGUCUGAGAGGAUGAUCUGCCACACUGGAACUGAGACACGGUCCAGACUCCUACGGGAGGCAGCAGUGGGGAAUUUUGGACAAUGGGGGCAACCCUGAUCCAGCCAUGCCGCGUGAGUGAAGAAGGCCUCGGUUGUAAG
Molecule: ribosomal RNA, 418 nt
Filed under: bacterium enrichment culture clone ALO1_GLFRUDD03G17HO
Lineage: Bacteria
Description: bacterial SSU rRNA
Rfam family: Bacterial small subunit ribosomal RNA
Source: RNAcentral